Molecule: long non-coding RNA, 942 nt
Organism: Brassica oleracea var. oleracea
Lineage: Eukaryota; Viridiplantae; Streptophyta; Magnoliopsida; Brassicales; Brassicaceae
Exons: 3
Source: RefSeq, a predicted model, not a curated record
UUUCUCUCGCCCUAAGUUCUGAUUCAGUUCAGUUUACCUGUGAAAAAAAAUCUGGAAACGUUACGUAGUUACUCAGAAUCGAAGCCUCACCUUCAACGACCUUAUUAACAAUUCUUCUCCACUCCUCACACUAUCUAUCACUAAAUGCAUCCUCCUUUACUUCAUUUCUCAGAAUCUUUGACUAUAAAAAGAUUGACAGAGGAUACCCGCGCGAUUUCAUGGAAGUUGGGAGAGUUGUAGUUCAGUUGAAAAGGGAGGAUGAGACUUUACUCAAUCCUGCCAUUAAUUCAAGUAACAUCACCUCACGUAGGUGAACCGAGCUUCUGGUUAUGUGUAUACCUGUCUAAAAGUUAGAAGUCCGUCUUCAUUCACCCAGAAAAUACUAACAUGGAUGGGACUUUCUUUCUGUUCUUUAGACUGGUUGUGAGGGACCUAAAACCAAUCCCAAGUUAUUAAUUGUUCUUCAAAUGACUUUGCUUACGUUAAUCAUCCUAUCCUUAUCCCCAUGAAAAGAGUGAGUAUUUGAUAUCCAAAUCAUAUUCUCAUGCCUAUGAAAGACUGAACAUUUGAUAUCAAUUUGACUUUCCAGCUUUACAUGCGGCGAGGUGUUUAAAUACAUGAUAUGUUCACUGUCUUGAAAUAUUUUUGGGAAGCAAUUGCUGCAGAUAAUUGCAGAGUUGGUACCGAGACAUCCUAGAAAGUGAAGAAGCAGGAAUCUCAGAAAGUGAAGUGUCAGAAACCUCAUGCCACAAAUUCAACCGCUGGAACUUCUUCAAAGUCAGGCUAAGGUGGCAAGAAGAAGUGAUAAGCAAGUCCUCUCUAUCUCUUUUAUUAAUUUUCUUGGACAUCGCAUCAGCUUCUACGGUUUGUUAAUGUCCAAAACUUGCUGAAACCCAAGUUGUGUUUGCUGAUGUAAAAAAAUUUGUUGGUUUCAUCACGAAU